GACGGAGGGGGCAAGCGUUGUCCGGAAUCACUGGGCGUAAAGCGCGCGUAGGUGGUCUGGUGCGUCGGUGCUGAAAGCGCCGGGCUUAACCCGGCGAGGCGUGCCGAUACGACCCGACUAGAGGCAGCGAGAGGGUAGCGGAAUUCCGGGUGUAGUGGUGAAAUGCGUAGAGAUCCGGAGGAACGCCAGAGACGAAGGUGGCUACCUGGUGCUGGCCUGACACUGAGGCGCGAUAGCGUGGGGAGCAAACCGG
RNAcentral lists this ribosomal RNA (253 nucleotides) under uncultured bacterium. RNAcentral describes it as "partial 16S ribosomal RNA". It matches the Rfam family "Bacterial small subunit ribosomal RNA", at positions 524 to 776 of the family's 1533-position model. The record is from RNAcentral.